Long non-coding RNA from Cydia strobilella, 280 nucleotides. RefSeq lists it as uncharacterized. The record is from RefSeq and is a predicted model, not a curated record. NCBI's taxonomy places the organism in Eukaryota, Metazoa, Arthropoda, Insecta, Lepidoptera, Tortricidae. The transcript is spliced from 3 exons.
AGCGUGCGCGAGUCCAGCCACGGGGGCGGAGUGAGCGAUCACGGGAGCGUGCACGAGCGGGGCGGGGUGGGUCUGGUGCAGAGACUGGGAGGACACGGAGUGGCUGGCGGCGUGCGCGAUGGGGGCAGCGUAGGCAGCGUGCGCGACGGCGUACGCGGCGUGCGCGAUGGGCGCGGCGUAAGCGGCGUGCGCGACGGGCGCGGCGUAGGCGGCGUGCGCGAGCGCGGGGGCGGCAUAUACUCCGGCGUGACCGGCCAGCUGCUUAGCGAGGAUGGGCGCG